CAUUUGCGACAGAUUUUUCGGAAUGAAGUUGCUUAUGACUGAGUGGCAAACGGGUGAGUAACACGUAAACAACCUGCCUUCAGGAUGGGGACAACAGACGGAAACGACUGCUAAUACCGAAUAAGUUCCAAGGGCCGCAUGGCCCGGACGGAAAAGAUUUAUCGGUGUGAGAUGGACCCGCGUUGGAUUAGCUAGUUGGCGGGGUAACGGCCUACCAAGGCGACGAUCCAUAGCCGGCCUGAGAGGGUGAACGGCCACAUUGGGACUGAGACACGGCCCAAACUCC
Molecule: ribosomal RNA, 286 nt
Filed under: uncultured Eubacteriales bacterium
Lineage: Bacteria; Bacillati; Bacillota; Clostridia; Eubacteriales
Description: uncultured Clostridiales bacterium partial 16S ribosomal RNA
Rfam family: Bacterial small subunit ribosomal RNA (bases 49-286)
Source: RNAcentral